This 399-nucleotide ribosomal RNA is filed under the name Triticum aestivum (bread wheat). RNAcentral's name for it is "partial small subunit ribosomal RNA". The record is from RNAcentral. Lineage: Eukaryota; Viridiplantae; Streptophyta; Magnoliopsida; Poales; Poaceae.
AUGGUGUCCUGGAGCGACAGUGAGAGCACUGACGGCUCCGGCGCGCAGUACAUCUCCUCCGACGACUCCCCUCUCAAGAUCCCAGCUAUAAUUGAUGAGCCGUCGUUCGAGGGUCUUGCUGACGACUUGAAUGUGAUUUGUGAGCAUGGGAAUCCAGGGAGGAAGUAUGUUGCAUUUGAGGGGAUAAGCACUGGUAGGAGGUUCAUUGCCUGUGCCACUGAAGGUGUUGGAAAUUGUGGAUUAGUGCAGUGGGUAGAUGAGCAUUGGCCAGAGGAUCUGCAGAAUGCUAUUCAUAAGCUGUGGCUUAUGUAUGAGCAUAGCCAGCAUGAAAACAAGAUGGCAUGCCUGGAGCAUUCAAGCACUGUACACAAUCUCACACAGCAGAAAAAAGAGUUGUAG